AUACUACAGGUUGUUUCGUUGGUUUCCAUACAGCUCACACGGUACGGGACGGCCAAGAAUAGCAAAGAGCACGCGAAUCUAGCCGUCCUGUAACUGAGUUUGGUGAAGGCGACCGACCGCUCCCUUCAUAGUCCGUCAGAACGAAUUUUAACGUAUAUUUUUUUUUCUAGAAAAACACGCGAUCCGCGACUAAAUUGUAUAUGGAGGUAAAAAGUGAGAAACGAUCGUUUCAGCGUGUCGAAUCACGCAAAGUGAACUGAAGUGAAGUGGCCUCGGCAAAGUUAAAAUCUAAAAACGUAGAGAAGAGAGAGAGUGGAAGAAGAGAAAGAAAGAGAAGAGACUGUGCGAAGUGGUUAUAAGAUUCUUGAGUGCAGUCGUGCGUGUUUUCGGGCAAUGUCUCUCGAGAGUCGUUCGAGUUCAGCCCUAUUUAAAAGGGCUGAACAACUCAAACGCUGGGAACAGUCCGAAACAAAUCGCGAACCGACUCAACCACGUCAGAUUGCACGGAAGAUUAAAUUCUCUGCGGAUUGUGUGUUUCUGGCAGCAUGCGCGGCAGGCGACAAGGAGGAGGUCGUACGUUUACUUCAAAAGGGGGCGGAUAUCAACACCGGAAAUGUUGACGGUCUUACAGCAUUACAUCAAGCAUGUAUCAAUGAUGAUCUGGAUAUGGUCGAAUUUUUAGUGGAAAAAGGAGCUGAUAUCAAUUGUGGAGAUAAUGAAGGAUGGACACCAUUACAUGCAACUGCAUCUUGUGGAUUUAUAUCUAUUGCUAAAUAUUUAAUAGAAAAAGGAUGUAAUUUGGCAGCAGUUAAUUAUGAUGGUCAAUUGGCUCUUGAUAUUGCUGAAAGUGUUGAAAUGGAAGAUAUGCUGCAACAACAUAUAAAUAAAGCUGGUAUAGAUUGUGAUCAAGCUAGAAGUGAAGAAGAAAGAUCAAUGUUAAAUGAUGCCAGAGCAUGGCAAUCAGGAGUAGCUGGUAAAGAUUCAAUCCAUCCUAAAUCAGGAGCUACUGCUCUUCAUGUUGCCGCUGCUAAAGGCUACAUUGAUGUCAUGGAAAUAUUACUUCAAGCUAGAUGUGAUGUUAAUGCUCAAGAUUUUGAUGGUUGGACACCUUUACAUGCUGCAGCACAUUGGGGACAAUUGGAAGCCUGUGAACUUUUAGUGGAAAACUUUUGUAAUAUGGACAUUAAGAAUUAUGCUGAUCAAACUGCAUUUGAUAUUGCUGAUACAAAUAUAUUAUCAGCCCUGGAGGAAUUAAAAGCAAAACAACAGUUGUGGAUGAAAGAUCACCCACAAAUUAUUAAUAAAAAACAAUCAACUGUACCAAAGAAACGUAUAUCAACAAAUAAUGAAAAUACUAUAACCACACAAGAAUCUGUAGAAACAUUUGAAGAAGAAACACCAAAUAAAGUUAAAAAGGUUGAAUUAGAAAUUCAAUCUGAUAAAGAAGAUUCUAGUGGAACAAAUAGCGACGUUGCAAUUUGUAUUUCUUGUAACAAUGCUGCAUGGACAGAAGCGACACGUGAAACAGAUAUGGAAGAGAGUGAUGGUGAAGGUGAAUCUGAGACUAGCUCAGACUCACAUUCUUCCACUUACUCCAAUCAAUCUGAUAAGUCUAACGAAUCAAACCACUCUCCAUGUCUUACAGAUGAUGAAAAGAAAAAUAGAGCAAACAGAGAGGAAACAUCAUCGCGUAACACUUCAUCAACUAUUGACACUAGUAAAGUUCCUAAUCAGGCUCCAAUAAUGCCUCCAAAACAACAGACUGAUAAUGAAGAAGGAAUUAUACCAUCUUGGCGACGAUCUGGCUCUUUUAGAAAUAGAGUACAAAAUACAGAGACAACUCACACUUUAUCUUCUAGACUUGAAGAAAAAGAUAAAAAUAUUAAGUCACCAACCAUGUCAAAUAAACUUAAUACAGAACCUGAUGUUGUAUUAACAAGAACACAUAGUUUUGAAACAGAUGAAAAGUUUUAUGAGCAGUACUUGGCAUUACGAGCUCGAAUCAAGGCGUUUUCUUGUCCUACUCUCCAUUGCUGCAACGCAGCUACUCCUACUUACACCAAUACUACGACCCGUUCUGCAUCUCUACGCGAAACCCACAGAAGAAAAGAAGCAAAAUUAAACUUGGAACUUUCAAGACUGCCACAAGGAAGCAAUACACUUUCACCAACAUCUACAUCAAAAACAAUAGUGUCAAGUACACUGCCAACUACAACUACAGCUACUACAACUGCCACAACAACAACUACUACAACAAGUCCUAUUCCAACUAAUCAAAUACGCAGUGUUCAACCAGUGGAAGCUACAACCACAAACAAUUCAGUAGCAGUUCCUGGAACUCCCACUACACCAGGAGGGAGCAAGCUAAGUCCAGGAAAUAUCUUCAAGAAUUUCUUCAAAUCAUUUGUUCCUCCUGUUCGUGAUGAGGAAAGUGAAACACAGAGAAAAGCACAUGCAAAAAGAGUAAGAGAAACUCGACGUUCAACUCAAGGAGUGACAUUAGAUGAAAUUAAAAGUGCAGAACAAUUAGUAAAAAAGAAACAACAAAAUAAUGAAAUUCCUUCCACAAUAUCUUCUACACAGUCUGCAACCACUACCAGCAAUACAGCCUCAAUUACAGCUACAAUAACAACAGCAACUCCUACUACUGUAACUACAAAUAAGCCUUCUGAAGAACUUAAUUUACCUGAAAGACGACCUUCUUGGAGGUUAAAAGUGGAUAAUGGAAGCAAGUUUCAGUUAGAAGAUGCUAAUAACAGAACUACUACAUUAUCUAAUCCAGAUACUGCUACAUAUAUGAGAAGACCUUCUGCAGGUUCAAGUGUACCAAGACCAUCAUCAGCUCCAAUUGAAACUAUCGCAACGAGUAGUGCAGAAACAACUGUGACAUUACCACUUAGACGAUCGUUAAAACAAUCUGAAGAUAAAGGUAUAUACACAUUAAGAACAAGAUAAAGAAAAUGAUAGUAGAAAUGCACAAGCUACACAAGCUGUUAUACAAAGGAGACGAAGACCUAAAAGGAGAUCUACUGGUGUUGUCCAUGUUGAUAUGGAUGAAAUUGAUCCUGAAAAGCAAGACUUAACUGCUGGUGGUGAUUGUGAUGAAUCUAAAAUCAAUCACAAUGAG
RNAcentral lists this unclassified non-coding RNA (3127 nucleotides) under Apis florea (little honeybee). Its description in RNAcentral is "protein phosphatase 1 regulatory subunit 12A, transcript variant X8". Lineage: Eukaryota; Metazoa; Arthropoda; Insecta; Hymenoptera; Apidae. The record is from RNAcentral.